CCUACGGGAGGCAGCAGUGGGGAAUAUUGGACAAUGGGCGAAAGCCUGAUCCAGCAAUGCCGCGUGAGUGAUGAAGGCCUUAGGGUUGUAAAGCUCUUUUACCAGGGAUGAUAAUGACAGUACCUGGAGAAUAAGCUCCGGCUAACUCCGUGCCAGCAGCCGCGGUAAUACGGAGGGAGCUAGCGUUGUUCGGAAUUACUGGGCGUAAAGCGUACGUAGGCGGUUAUUCAAGUCAGAGGUGAAAGCCCGGGGCUCAACCCCGGAACUGCCUUUGAAACUAGAUAGCUAGAAUCUUGGAGAGGUUAGUGGAAUUCCGAGUGUAGAGGUGAAAUUCGUAGAUAUUCGGAAGAACACCAGUGGCGAAGGCGACUAACUGGACAAGUAUUGACGCUGAGGUACGAAAGCGUGGGGAGCAAACAGGAUUAGAUACCCUGGUAGUCCACGCCGUAAACGAUGAUAACUAGUUGUUCGGGCACUUGGUGCCUGAGUGACGCAGCUAACGCAUUAAGUUAUCCGCCUGGGGAGUACGGUCGCAAGAUUAAAACUCAAAUGAAUUGACGG
RNAcentral lists this ribosomal RNA (561 nucleotides) under uncultured bacterium. RNAcentral's name for it is "bacterial SSU rRNA". It matches the Rfam family "Bacterial small subunit ribosomal RNA", at positions 338 to 916 of the family's 1533-position model. The record is from RNAcentral.